AGAAAAAAAAAAUCAUCUGCCAAAGUUUGCAAGAUAAAUAAAGUAUCUGUUUACUGAUGUAUCUAUCUAUACCAGCAAGAGACGGCAAGCAUCACCUCAUACCUGCUCUAUCAGGGGACUCUUUUCAAAAAGACUGACUGACAUUAAGAAAGAGGUUCAAAAUGACAUUGGAGGGGAGACAUGAUGGAAGAAUUUUCAUUUUUCUGUAUGUUAUUCCUCUAACUUAUCAUUUCCAGCCUAUUAAUAUUUUAUGUUUUCAUAUUAUGUUUCUCUUUCUUGCUGUCCAACACUUAUAAUUUCAGCCAUCUAUGUCCAGCAAACCAUAACUGACACACACACGCAUGCCUGACAGUUGUGAUCACUCGUCUGAUGCUGACACUGACAUACAGGAAGCACAGAGGAAACAGCAGCCAAGACUUCCUGUGGUUUUGUUUUGAGUUGUCAGGCAGGAAUGUGGAAAGCAUCCAGACGCUGCUGGCUCUGCCAUCUGCAGCACUAUUCAUGAGCAGAUACACAGGAAAAUCCAUCCAGCCGGUAAACACAGUUCAAUCUGUAACAUGCUGCAGGGGACACAGUGUAAAGAGUCUGAGGUUCACCAUAUACUGCUUCCUCAUGAUA
Long non-coding RNA from Cyprinus carpio (common carp), 618 nucleotides. RefSeq lists it as uncharacterized. Lineage: Eukaryota; Metazoa; Chordata; Actinopteri; Cypriniformes; Cyprinidae. The transcript has 3 exons. The record is from RefSeq and is a predicted model, not a curated record.